GCACAAGCGGUGGAGCAUGUGGUUUAAUUCGACGCAACGCGAAGAACCUUACCUGGGCUCGAAAUGUACCGGAAUCCGGCAGAAACGUCGGCGUCUAGCAAUAGACCGGUAUAUAGGUGCUGCAUGGCUGUCGUCAGCUCGUGUCGUGAGAUGUUGGGUUAAGUCCCGCAACGAGCGCAACCCUUAUCUCCAGUUGCUACCAUUUAGUUGAGCACUCUGGCGAAACCGCCUCGGAUAACGGGGAGGAAGGUGGGGAUGACGUCAAGUCCUCAUGGCCUUUAUGUCCAGGGCUACACACGUGCUACAAUGGCCGGUACAAACCGCCGCAAACCCGCGAGGGGGAGCUAAUCGGAAAAAGCCGGCCUCAGUUCGGAUUGGAGUCUGCAACUCGACUCCAUGAAGCUGGAAUCGCUAGUAAUCGUGGAUCAGCAUGCCACGGUGAAUACGUUCCCGGGC
Molecule: ribosomal RNA, 456 nt
Filed under: uncultured bacterium
Lineage: Bacteria
Description: bacterial SSU rRNA
Rfam family: Bacterial small subunit ribosomal RNA
Source: RNAcentral